AAGAUUUUCGGCCCGUAUAUGGGUCCAAAACACACCUUUGGCUGUGCGCUCCUGCUGCACGCCGGGUGACAACCUCUUCACACCUGUGCGCCUCACGGUUGUGUCCCAGGACGCUUCCGCAUUUUUCACAUACAACCACCAGUCUAGAAUGUGACAAUACAAUAUAAAUAA
Molecule: unclassified non-coding RNA, 171 nt
Filed under: uncultured fungus
Lineage: Eukaryota; Fungi
Description: sequence contains ITS1, 5.8S rRNA gene
Source: RNAcentral